RNAcentral lists this ribosomal RNA (469 nucleotides) under uncultured bacterium. Its description in RNAcentral is "partial 16S ribosomal RNA". It matches the Rfam family "Bacterial small subunit ribosomal RNA", at positions 28 to 508 of the family's 1533-position model. The record is from RNAcentral.
GAUGAACGCUGACAGAAUGCUUAACACAUGCAAGUCUACUUGAAUUUGGGUUUUUUAACUUAGAUUUGGGUGGCGGACGGGUGAGUAACGCGUAAAGAACUUGCCUCACAGCUAGGGACAACAUUUGGAAACGAAUGCUAAUACCUGAUAUUAUGAUUAUAAGGCAUCUUAGAAUUAUGAAAGCUAUAUGCGCUGUGAGAGAGCUUUGCGUCCCAUUAGCUAGUUGGAGAGGUAACGGCUCACCAAGGCGAUGAUGGGUAGCCGGCCUGAGAGGGUGAACGGCCACAAGGGGACUGAGACACGGCCCUUACUCCUACGGGAGGCAGCAGUGGGGAAUAUUGGACAAUGGACCAAGAGUCUGAUCCAGCAAUUCUGUGUGCACGAUGACGUUUUUCGGAAUGUAAAGUGCUUUCAGUUGGGAAGAAAAAAAUGACGGUACCAACAGAAGAAGUGACGGCUAAAUACGUGC